Molecule: ribosomal RNA, 429 nt
Filed under: Gemmatimonadota bacterium
Lineage: Bacteria; Pseudomonadati; Gemmatimonadota
Description: Gemmatimonadetes bacterium partial 16S ribosomal RNA
Rfam family: Bacterial small subunit ribosomal RNA
Source: RNAcentral
UAGGGAAUCUUCGGCAAUGGACGAAAGUCUGACCGAGCAACGCCGCGUGAGUGAAGAAGGUGUUCGGAUCGUAAAACUCUGUUGUUAGAGAAGAACAAGGACGUUAGUAACUGAACGUCCCCUGACGGUAUCUAACCAGAAAGCCACGGCUAACUACGUGCCAGCAGCCGCGGUAAUACGUAGGUGGCAAGCGUUGUCCGGAUUUAUUGGGCGUAAAGCGAGCGCAGGCGGUUUCUUAAGUCUGAUGUGAAAGCCCCCGGCUCAACCGGGGAGGGUCAUUGGAAACUGGGAGACUUGAGUGCAGAAGAGGAGAGUGGAAUUCCAUGUGUAGCGGUGAAAUGCGUAGAUAUAUGGAGGAACACCAGUGGCGAAGGCGGCUCUCUGGUCUGUAACUGACGCUGAGGCUCGAAAGCGUGGGGAGCAAACAGG